Non-coding RNA from Seminavis robusta, 154 nucleotides. Lineage: Eukaryota; Bacillariophyta; Bacillariophyceae; Naviculales; Naviculaceae. The record is from the annotation of a GenBank genome assembly.
GUCCGUGUGGUCUAGAGGCAUGAUUCCUGCUUUGGGUGCAGGAGGUGUAAGUAAUUGAAGCAUAUCCGACGACCUCGAUCUACCACGCUCACACUCACACAAGACCAUUCGUCCAUUGUCAACGUCAGCCCGGGUUCGAAUCCCGGCACGGACC